Molecule: ribosomal RNA, 253 nt
Filed under: uncultured bacterium
Lineage: Bacteria
Description: partial 16S ribosomal RNA
Rfam family: Bacterial small subunit ribosomal RNA
Source: RNAcentral
GACGGAGGAUGCAAGCGUUAUCCGGAAUGAUUGGGCGUAAAGCGUCCGCAGGUGGCUGUGUAAGUCUGCUGUCAAAGAGCAAAGCUCAACUUUGUAAAGGCAGUGGAAACUACACGGCUAGAGUGCGUUCGGGGCAGAGGGAAUUCCUGGUGUAGCGGUGAAAUGCGUAGAGAUCAGGAAGAACACCGGUGGCGAAGGCGCUCUGCUAGGCCGCAACUGACACUGAGGGACGAAAGCUAGGGGAGCGAAUGGG